RNAcentral lists this ribosomal RNA (456 nucleotides) under uncultured bacterium. RNAcentral's name for it is "bacterial SSU rRNA". It matches the Rfam family "Bacterial small subunit ribosomal RNA", at positions 29 to 479 of the family's 1533-position model. The record is from RNAcentral.
AACGAACGCUGGCGGCGCGCCUAAUACAUGCAAGUCGAGCGAGAAGACGUAGCAAUACGUUUGUAAAGCGGCGAACGGGUGAGGAAUACAUGGGUAACCUACCCUCGAGUGGGGAAUAACUAGCCGAAAGGUUAGCUAAUACCGCGUACGCUCCUUGGACUUCGGUUCAGGGAGGAAAGCGAUACCGUGGGUAUCGCGCUCUUGGAUGGGCUCAUGUCCUAUCAGCUUGUUGGUGAGGAACGGCUCACCAAGGCUUCGACGGGUAGCUGGUCUGAGAGGACGAUCAGCCACACUGGCACUGCGACACGGGCCAGACUCCUACGGGAGGCAGCAGUAAGGAAUAUUGCGCAAUGGGCGAAAGCCUGACGCAGCGACGCCGCGUGGGGGAUGAAGGUCUUCGGAUUGUAAACCCCUUUCGGGAGGGAAGAUGGAACGAGCAAUCGUUCGGACGGUACC